UACGUAGGGGGCGAGCGUUGUCCGGAUUUAUUGGGCGUAAAGAGCUCGUAGGCGGUUUGGUAAGUCGGGUGUGAAAUCUCCACGCUCAACGUGGAGGGGCCACUCGAUACUGCCAUGACUCGAGUCCGGUAGAGGAGUGUGGAAUUCCCGGUGUAGCGGUGAAAUGCGCAGAUAUCGGGAGGAACACCCGUAGCGAAGGCGGCACUCUGGGCCGGAACUGACGCUGAGGAGCGAAAGCGUGGGGAGCAAACAGGAUUAGAUACCCUGGUAGUCCACGCCGUAAACGUUGGGCACUAGGUGUGGGGAUCUAUCGACGGUUUCCGUGCCGAAGCUAACGCAUUAAGUGCCCCGCCUGGGGAGUACGGCCGCAAGGCUAAA
This 378-nucleotide ribosomal RNA is filed under the name uncultured bacterium. RNAcentral's name for it is "bacterial SSU rRNA". It matches the Rfam family "Bacterial small subunit ribosomal RNA", at positions 524 to 898 of the family's 1533-position model. The record is from RNAcentral.